AGAGUUUGAUCCUGGCUCAGGAUGAAUGCUGGCGGCAUGCCUAAUACAUGCAAGUCGAGCGGUAACAGGACUAGCUUGCUAGUGCUGACGAGCGGCGGACGGCUGAGUAACGCGUGGGAACGGACCCCCAAACUGAGGGAUAACGCACCGAAAGGUGUGCUAAUACCGCAUGUGAUCUUCGGAUUAAAGCUUUCGAGCGGUUUGGGACUGGCCUGCGUACGAUUAGAUAGUUGGUGAGGUAAUGGCUCACCAAGUCAACGAUCGUUAGAUGGUUUGAGAGGAUGAUCAUCCAGACUGGGACUGAGAUGCGGCCCAGACUCCUACGGGAGGCAGCAGUGGGGAAUAUUGGGCAAUGGGCGAAAGCCCUGACCCAGCAACGCCGCGUGAAGGAAGAAGGUCUUCGGAUUGUAAACUUCUUUUAUGAGGGACGAAGGACGUGACGGUACCUCAUGAAUAAGCCACGGCUAACUACGUGCCAGCAGCCGC
RNAcentral lists this ribosomal RNA (486 nucleotides) under uncultured bacterium. RNAcentral's name for it is "bacterial SSU rRNA". It matches the Rfam family "Bacterial small subunit ribosomal RNA", at positions 8 to 518 of the family's 1533-position model. The record is from RNAcentral.